CAGACAUGGGCAGGACUGACAGGAUGAUAGCUCUUUCUAGAUUCCAUGGGUAGUAAUUCAUGGAUGUUCUUGGUGGAACAAUAUUUCUCACUAAUUAUGGCAGCCAUCAAGACUCUGAUGCAUUAAUUUGUAUGCAAUUCCUGAGCAGGUGGCAUCUCCAACAUCUUAGAAGGAAGUGGCAUUGAGCCAUCUAAGAUAGAGCAAAAACAGGUCUCUGAUGCCCUUAUAG
This 229-nucleotide non-coding RNA is filed under the name Ictidomys tridecemlineatus (thirteen-lined ground squirrel). RNAcentral's name for it is "Spermophilus tridecemlineatus (thirteen-lined ground squirrel) Eukaryotic small subunit ribosomal RNA". It matches the Rfam family "Eukaryotic small subunit ribosomal RNA", at positions 1225 to 1478 of the family's 1831-position model. The record is from Rfam by way of RNAcentral. Lineage: Eukaryota; Metazoa; Chordata; Mammalia; Rodentia; Sciuridae.